Molecule: long non-coding RNA, 1041 nt
Organism: Amaranthus tricolor (Joseph's coat)
Lineage: Eukaryota; Viridiplantae; Streptophyta; Magnoliopsida; Caryophyllales; Amaranthaceae
Exons: 4
Source: RefSeq, a predicted model, not a curated record
AAGUGGGCUGUCAGCAAUGUUGGAUUCCCAGCAUCAAACAACAAUGUCACUUAUACAUUAGACAUUCCGCGCCAAUUUGCUAGCCAAGACUCUGAAUUAUUUCAACAGCUAGACUGUCAGCUGGAUCCCUACGGUAUUAUGGACUUGGGCUUCAGUCUGGUAAUUACAGCGUGCUCCUACAGUUUGCAGAGAAUCAAAUUGAAGACAAUGGUACAUGGAAAAGUCUUGGAAGGCGUGUGUUUGAUAUCCUUAUUCAGGGAAAUCGGGUGGAAAGAGAUUUUGACAUACGCAAGGCGGGUGGGGGUCGUUCGUAUAAACCUGUUCAGAGAAACUAUACUGCUCGGGUGACUGGAAAGUUUCUUGAAAUACAUCUUUUCUGGGCUGGAAAAGGAACAUGCUGCAUACCUGUCCAGGGAGCUUAUGGACCUUUGAUAUCAGCUCUCAGCGUUACUACAUUGUUUCAACCAAGACCUAUAAGCUGGUAUGUCUUAUAGGUCUUUUAAAAGAAAAAAGAGAUUGCGUGCAGCACAAGAUGAGUUGGCAGGCAUCGAUGCCAAAGCAUAUAGUUAUGCUGAACUGAAGUCAGCAACUGGAGAUUUCGACCCUUCAAACAAGCUUGGUGAAGGAGGCUUUGGAUGUGUCUAUAAGGUAAACUAAUGUACCUGUUAAUAAACUUGUGCUAUGUCUGUAAUUACAGGGAAUCCUGAAUGGAAAUGUAGUUGCAGUCAAACAGUUGGCUGUAACAUCUCAUCAAAGUGAAAGACCAAUUUGUAACAGAAAUAGCUACGAUAUCUGCAGUACAGCACUGAAAUCUUGUAAAGUUAAAUGGAUGUUGCAUUGAUGGGCAAAAGCGUUUUGGCUUUAUACAAAUUUUAGUAAAUCCUUAAGCCUCAUAUGGGCAAGAUUAAGUUCUAUUGCUAGUAAAUGUUUCACUAAAAACAAUUUACAGGUGUUUCUGAUUCUGAUCAUUAUGAAGAAUUAAAGAUAAUCAUUACUAAAGGUAUGUUCUAGUAUGUAGUAUGCAGUAGUUAUACUAGUCAA